GUAGGGGGCAAGCGUUGUCCGGAUUUACUGGGCGUAAAGAGCGUGUAGGCGGCCAAGCAGGUCUGUUGUGAAAACUGGAGGCUCAACCUCCAGACGUCGACAGAAACCGCUUGGCUAGAGUCCGGAAGAGGAGAGUGGAAUUCCUGGUGUAGCGGUGAAAUGCGCAGAUAUCAGGAAGAACACCAAUGGCGAAGGCAGCUCUCUGGGACGGUACUGACGCUGAGACGCGAAAGCGUGGGGAGCGAACAGGAUUAGAUACCCUGGUAGUCCACGCCGUAAACGAUGGGUGCUAGGUGUGGGAGGUGUCGACUCCUUCCGUGCCGCAGCUAACGCAUUAAGCACCCCGCCUGGGGAGUACGGCCGCAAGGCUAAA
RNAcentral lists this ribosomal RNA (373 nucleotides) under uncultured bacterium. Its description in RNAcentral is "bacterial SSU rRNA". It matches the Rfam family "Bacterial small subunit ribosomal RNA", at positions 527 to 898 of the family's 1533-position model. The record is from RNAcentral.